GCCCGGAUGGUGGAAUUGGUAGACACGCCGGACUUAAAAUCCUGUGGCCCUUGCGGCCGUGCGGGUUCAAGUCCCGCUCCGGGUACCA
This 88-nucleotide transfer RNA is filed under the name Cryomorphaceae bacterium 1068. RNAcentral describes it as "tRNA-Leu". It matches the Rfam family "tRNA". From Rfam's summary of the family: Transfer RNA (tRNA) molecules are approximately 80 nucleotides in length. Their secondary structure includes four short double-helical elements and three loops (D, anti-codon, and T loops). The record is from RNAcentral. Lineage: Bacteria; Pseudomonadati; Bacteroidota; Flavobacteriia; Flavobacteriales; Cryomorphaceae.